Molecule: transfer RNA, 87 nt
Filed under: Streptomyces sp. PVA_94-07
Lineage: Bacteria; Bacillati; Actinomycetota; Actinomycetes; Kitasatosporales; Streptomycetaceae
Source: RNAcentral
CCCCGGCCUGGCUGCUGCUGGUGCACGCGCUGGUGCUCGGCGCCUGCGGGCCCGCCUCGAUGGUCGGCUUCGACUUCUCCCGGCCGG